Non-coding RNA from Henosepilachna vigintioctopunctata, 73 nucleotides. Lineage: Eukaryota; Metazoa; Arthropoda; Insecta; Coleoptera; Coccinellidae. The record is from the annotation of a GenBank genome assembly.
GUCUCCGUGGCUUAGUCUGGAGAAUACCCGACUAUAAUGCGGUAGGAUUUGGGUUCGAGCCCCGAUGAAGGCA